GGCCGGUUAGCUCAGUCAGUUGAGCGUGAUGCUGAUAACACCAAGGUCACGGGUUCAAUCCCCGUUCAAUCCC
This 73-nucleotide transfer RNA is filed under the name Apaloderma vittatum (bar-tailed trogon). It matches the Rfam family "tRNA". From Rfam's summary of the family: Transfer RNA (tRNA) molecules are approximately 80 nucleotides in length. Their secondary structure includes four short double-helical elements and three loops (D, anti-codon, and T loops). Further hydrogen bonds mediate the characteristic L-shaped molecular structure. tRNAs have two regions of fundamental functional importance: the anti-codon, which is responsible for specific mRNA codon recognition, and the 3' end, to which the tRNAs corresponding amino acid is attached (by aminoacyl-tRNA synthetases). tRNAs cope with the degeneracy of the genetic code in two manners: having more than one tRNA (with a specific anti-codon) for a particular amino acid; and 'wobble' base-pairing, i.e. permitting non-standard base-pairing at the 3rd anti-codon position. The record is from Rfam by way of RNAcentral. Lineage: Eukaryota; Metazoa; Chordata; Aves; Trogoniformes; Trogonidae.